GAUGAACGCUGGCGGCGUGCCUAAUACAUGCAAGUCGAGCGAACAGACGAGGAGCUUGCUCCUCUGACGUUAGCGGCGGACGGGUGAGUCACACGUGGAUAACCUACCUAUCAGACUGGGAUAACUUCGGGAAACCGGAGCUAAUACCGGAUAAUAUAUUGAACCUCAUGGUGCAAUCGUUGAAUAAGGUUUUGCUGUCGCUUAUAGAUUGAUCCGGGUCGCAUUAGCUAGUUGGUAAGGUAACGGCUUACCAAGGCAACGAGGGUUAGCCGACCUGAGAGGGACAGCGGACACACUGGAUGAGAGACAGGGUCGACACACUUACGGGAGGAAGCAGUAGGGACUCUUACGCGAUGGGGGAGAGCCUGAUGGAGCAACGCGGGGGGAGUGAUGAAGGACUUCGGAUCGUAAAACUCUGUUAUUAGUGAAGAACAAAUGUGUAAGUAACUAUGCACGUAUUGACGGUACCUAAUCAGAAAGCCACGGCUAACUACGUG
Molecule: ribosomal RNA, 497 nt
Filed under: uncultured bacterium
Lineage: Bacteria
Description: partial 16S ribosomal RNA
Rfam family: Bacterial small subunit ribosomal RNA
Source: RNAcentral